UCCAAGGCUAAAUACUCUCUAAUGACCGAUAGUGAACAAGUACCGUGAGGGAAAGGCGAAAAGAACCCCGGGAGGGGAGUGAAAUAGAACCUGAAAUCGUAUGCAUACAAGCAGUAGGAGCAGAUUUAUUCUGUAACUGCGUACCUUUUGUAUAAUGGGUCAGCGACUUACUUCUCAGUAGCAAGGUUAACCAAAUAGGGGAGCCGUAGGGAAACCGAGUCUUAAAUGGGCGUUUAGUUGCUGGGAGUAGACCCGAAACCGGGUGAUCUAUCCAUGGCCAGGGUGAAGGUUAGGUAAAACUAACUGGAGGCCCGAACCCACUUAUGUUGAAAAAUGAGGGGAUGAGCUGUGGAUAGGGGUGAAAGGCCAAACAAACCCGGAGAUAGCUGGUUCUCUCCGAAAUCUAUUUAGGUAGAGCCUCAUGUAUUACUGUCGGGGGUAGAGCACUGUUAUGGUUAGCGGGUCGUCAAGACUUAGUAAGCCAUUGCAAACUCCGAAUACCGACAAGUAUGAGCAUGGGAGACACACUGCGGGUGCUAACGUCCGUAGUGGAAAGGGAAACAACCCAGACCGUCAGCUAAGGUCCCAAAAUUGUAGUUAAGUGGGAAACGAUGUGAAAAGGCCAAGACAGCCAGGAAGUUGGCUUAGAAGCAGCCAUUCCUUUAAAGAGUGCGUAAUAGCUCACUGGUCGAGUCGGUUUGCGCGGAAGAUUUAACGGGGCUAAAACUACAUACCGAAGCUACGGAUUGCAAUUUAUUGCAAUGGUAGGAGAGCGUUCUGUAAGCCGUUGAAGGUAAACUGUAAGGUUUACUGGAGGUAUCAGAAGUGCGAAUGCUGACAUGAGUAACGAUAAAGGGGGUGAAAAACCCCCUCGCCAGAAGUCCAAGGUUUCCUACGCAACGUUAAUCGGCGUAGGGUUAGUCGGCCCCUAAGGCGAGGCAGAAAUGCGUAGUCGAUGGGAAAUAGGUUAAUAUUCCUAUACUUCAUAUAACUGCGAUGGGAAGACGGAGAAGGUUAGCGCAGCUUGGCUAUGGUUGUCCAAGUUCAAGCGUGUAGAAAUGAGUUUUAGGAAAAUCCGGAACUCUAUAUUUUAAGGCGUGAUAACGAUCCCUCUUUUGGGAGAAGUGCGUGAUACCAUACUUCCAGGAAAAUCCUCUAAGCUUCAGGUUAUAUGAAACCGUACCCCAAACCGACACAGGUGGACGAGAUGAGAAUUCUAAGGCGCUUGAGAGAACUCGGGUGAAGGAACUAGGCAAAAUGACACCGUAACUUCGGGAGAAGGUGUGCUCUUGCCGGUAAUUUUACUUGCUAAAUGAAGCUGGUAAGAGUUGAAGAUACCAGGUGGCUCCGACUGUUUAUUAAAAACACAGCACUCUGCAAACACGUAAGUGGACGUAUAGGGUGUGACGCCUGCCCGGUGCUUGAAGGUUAAUUGAUGAGGUUAGGAUUUAUCCGAAGCUUUUGAUCGAAGCCCAAGUAAACGGCGGCCGUAACUAUAACGGUCCUAAGGUAGCGAAAUUCCUUGUCGGGUAAGUUCCGACCUGCACGAAUGGCGUAACGAGGGCUACACUGUCUCUACCCGAGACUCAGUGAAAUUGAAAUUGCUGUUAAGAUGCAGUAUACCCGCGGCCAGACGGAAAGACCCCGUGCACCUUUACUACAGCUUUGCAUUGAAUUUUGAUCCUACUUGUGUAGGAUAGGUGGUAGGCUUUGAAACUUAGACGCUAGUCUUGAGUGGAGCCAUCCUUGAAAUACCACCCUAGUAUGGUUGGAAUUCUAACCUAGGUCCAUUAUCUGGACCAGGGACAAUGCAUGGUGGG
RNAcentral lists this ribosomal RNA (1820 nucleotides) under Ectenagena extenta gill symbiont. RNAcentral describes it as "bacterial LSU rRNA". It matches the Rfam family "Bacterial large subunit ribosomal RNA", at positions 459 to 2265 of the family's 2925-position model. The record is from RNAcentral. Lineage: Bacteria; Pseudomonadati; Pseudomonadota; Gammaproteobacteria.